RNAcentral lists this ribosomal RNA (427 nucleotides) under uncultured bacterium. RNAcentral's name for it is "partial 16S ribosomal RNA". It matches the Rfam family "Bacterial small subunit ribosomal RNA", at positions 355 to 774 of the family's 1533-position model. The record is from RNAcentral.
UGGGGAAUAUUGCACAAUGGGCGCAAGCCUGAUGCAGCCAUGCCGCGUGUAUGAAGAAGGCCUUCGGGUUGUAAAGUACUUUCAGCGGGGAGGAAGGGAGUAAAGUUAAUACCUUUGCUCAUUGACGUUACCCGAAGAAGAAGCACCGGCUAACUCCGUGCCAGCAGCCGCGGUAAUACGGAGGGUGCAAGCGUUAAUCGGAAUUACUGGGCGUAAAGCGCACGCAGGCGGUUUGUUAAGUCAGAUGUGAAAUCCCCGGGCUCAACCUGGGAACUGCAUCUGAUACUGGCAAGCUUGAGUCUCGUAGAGGGGGGUAGAAUUCCAGGUGUAGCGGUGAAAUGCGUAGAGAUCUGGAGGAAUACCGGUGGCGAAGGCGGCCCCCUGGACGAAGACUGACGCUCAGGUGCGAAAGCGUGGGGAGCAAACA